AGGGAGCUUGAGAAACGGCUACCACAUCCAAGGAAG
RNAcentral lists this ribosomal RNA (36 nucleotides) under Pelobates cultripes (western spadefoot toad). RNAcentral's name for it is "SSU_rRNA_eukarya". Lineage: Eukaryota; Metazoa; Chordata; Amphibia; Anura; Pelobatidae. The record is from RNAcentral.